This 4005-nucleotide long non-coding RNA is filed under the name Anneissia japonica. RNAcentral describes it as "uncharacterized LOC117113318, transcript variant X1". The record is from RNAcentral. Lineage: Eukaryota; Metazoa; Echinodermata; Crinoidea; Comatulida; Comatulidae.
ACUUGUGGCAAGUCUAACAGUGUGCUUGCUGCACAGCUAACUUUGGGCGAUCUUACGUCAUCGCAGCUUUCGCGGCCAGUUUGGAAUUGGCUUCCUCUCCGAUGACGACGGACUGAGCAACAACACAAAGAUAUCGAACUUCUUGAAAUUUGACUGUUUUGUACGAUCGCCGGCCGCCGCAGUAUAUUCCAACAUUGAAUCGAUAAUUAAUAGUUAAUACUCUAAACAAAGUCAUAUGACCAUUGACAACUAUGGCUUGGCUAGGCCUAGCUUGGCUUGGUCUAGCCGAAAUUGGUCUAGGCCUAGCUUGGCUUGGUCUAGGCCUAGCUUGCCUAGCCUGGCUACGACGAAUCAAGGCAGUCGCGAGAAAUUAGUACUGAGGCUAAAUCAAAUUUUGCCUUGGGUGCCCUUUUAUACUUGAAAUUUUGGCCUUGGUGCCUUUCCAUUUGGCCCUGGUGCCUUUCAAACUCAUGUCAUACCGCAGGCCAUUUGGCCUGCCCAUAAAAUCCCCAAAUUCGAGGCCUGCACUGUCAUUUGGGGCCAUUUUUUCCUGGGUCAUUUUUCCGGGGAAAUUCUUACCAUACCCCCGAAAACAACCACCCACUGUUAACGUGAGAGGUAAAUGGCUAAGAAAGCUUAUACAAUUGUUCAAAAUAGUGUUUAUUUAUCCUAGCAUUCUCCUUGGAUUGUAUGCUUCGUAAUUGAAGUGAUCAUCACCAUCCUAUUUGGGUUCUUUACUAGAUUUAGGGUGAGUGAUUUUCAUACCAAAAGUGCUCUAUUUUUUUCACAUCCCUGAAGAGGAGUAUAGGUGAGUGAUAGUGUGGUCCCUAUACAGAAUUUUUUUAGUAGACAUAGAUAGUUUGUAGUAGACAAAGUCUAUUUUUUUUAGACGAUAAUAGGCUGUUAAUAGAUUUUUCAUGUCUACUAAGGAUUUCCUCCUUUAGUACUACCUUAGUAGUAACUUAGUAAGCUUUGUCUACAGAUGAUAGAUCACAAAUAGUUUAUUAAUAGUUUAUACAUAUCUAUUUAUUACCGUAGUUGGUAUUUAUUAUAGAUGGGCAUAACAAAGGGUUGGCAAUAGUAAUAUAUCUAUUUAUGUGCUAAAUAGUUGUUAUCAAUUUAUAAUUUUAAGUUCAUAAUUUUAUAAGUAGGUUUGUGUCUAGCUAUUUAAGAAGAUAUUAUGUAGACCCAAUAAUUAAAUAAAAUUAACAUAUUAUUAGCAGAUUCUAAUUAGUUUUUGUCAAUCUAUUAAGGGGACUGAUAGAAAUAUUUUUACUUUAUAAAUAGACCACUGAUAGGUAGAUGGUAAUAUAGUUUAAUAAUAGUGAUUGUUUUUGAAAACCUCAGCGAAAUAUGCUAGUGAGGCGAAAAACUACUAAAAUCUACUGAAAACCUACAUAUUAGUAGGCGUUUAAUAGUCAGUAGGGCUAAAUCUACUAAGUGCCAUAUGGCUAAAUCUACUAAAAAUGAGCAAUGUCUACUAAGGAAUUUCGGUAUGAGGGAGUGCAAUCGCUUGCCUCAAAUCACAAGCCAGCACCUAAAAACUUUGUUCAACCAGAUUUCUAUUUUAAACUAUCAAUUUUUAUCAACUAUCCAAAAAAACUACAUCCAUCCACAAUAACACAGUUAGCCAAUCAAGCCUUGAUUUUGUUUUGGGAGAAUAUGUUGCGCAGUAUGGUAUGGUACUGUACGUCUUCACAAAUAUGAGGAGAAAGCAAAAAUCUUUACUGUACAAAGUUGCACUGAUAAUUAUGGUAUAGUUAGCAAAUCACACAUAGGGCGAUAGUUACCAUUAGCUGGUAUCAUUUCUCAGCGACCAUUGAAAAAAUGCAGGGUAAAACUAAAAUAAAUAAGAAUGAUGCUAGUUAUAUUGUUUACAAUUUCUAUUUGCAAAACCAGUUGAGAUUUGUAUUCAACUUUGGUCAACAAACUGCAUGUCACUCUGUUCCGUCGCUCCAUUACCGGAAAGAUGCAUUAUUUAUGUCGUAUCAUUAAUAUGUAUCAACCACUUUUCAAAUCAAAGGUAGCUCAAUAAAGGUUUAUGAAUACUGAAAUAUAUAAUUAUCCUUAGAAACUUAUUUAAAGAAUUCGUAGAGCUUUGGCAAUAUCUAUUUUGGUAAAAAAAAAACCAUGUCAAUUUUGCGUCACUGUUACUGAAGUUACAAUUAUUCAUAUUUCAUAUUUCUGAUGGAUAAUUUUUGUAAGGUACAUAUUUUUAGAAAGAAAGUAGUAGUAGUAAUAGACACUUGGUAAGGUGUUUGUUGGUUGAGAAUAUAUUUUCUGUACAUCUGUUUAAAAGUUUAAAUUACUGUAUUGGAAAUGUCCUUUAAUAAUUGUUUCCGUGACAGGAAUUGAACCCAUGACCCUGGGAUAGCAAAGCAAGUAUCUUUCUACCAAGAUUUCCAGGUUCACUAAUUAUUUAUUAUUAAUGAUGAUGAUAAUAAUCUUGGGAGAAGAUUUUGAUGUCAUUUGUUGUGAACAAUUUAAUGUGGCUAAUAUUUCAUUUUUAGUAUAUACAUUCUCUGUGUGAGGUCUUAUUAGCAACAAGCAAAAAACAGUUAUCAUGGAUUUAAAGAAUUUCUAACUAGCAGUUAAUUUAGAUUCACUGUACUGUACCCUUUCAUUACCAUUAUUAUUAUUGUCCUUUACACUAGCUUACUUCUAGUGAGUCCAUCAAUGAUGUUAAAAAAAUAGACAGAGUAUAUGACAGAUUAAUGAUAAUUUAUUGUUUUCUUUUUAUUUACUAAUACAUGCAUUAAAUAGAUUCUUAUUUUGAAAUGAGCAUUAAAGGAUAUUAUUUUAAUAUUAUUACUAUUUUUAUUUUAUUUUAUGUAUUUACUAUACAUGUAUUUACUAAUACAUGCAUUAAAUAGAUUCUUAUUUUGAAAUGAGUAUUAAAGGAUAUUAUUUUAAUAUUAUUACUAUUUUUAUUUUAUUUAAAAAAAAUAAUAUUAAUGUUUUCAGUAACAGAUUGUUUAUUCCCAAAAUUUAUCAUAUUCAUUUUAAUUAUUUAUUUUGUUAAAUAGUGGUUUGCGAGACAAGGCCUGUAGCCAUUGUGUGAUGACAGGAUGUGUGGCCUGUAGAUCUGAAGAUUCUCUCCACAGCCACGUAACAUGCACAGUGAUAGAUUCUCAGUACUGAACGUCAAUGAUGCAGACUGUGACCAUCAUCGGAAGAGCAGCAGUCCUGUAAUGAUCCAAAUGGGCAACACCUAGCUGGCUGGGGGUCAUGACCCCCACUACAUAACUAAAAAGACAAAUCAAAUGAAGCUUAGUCACACACCGGAUUGGAAGCAAUGUUUACAAGGGCGCCCUCGGUCAUCAAAGUCUGUUACAGAAAAAAAGCAGCUGAAAAUUAGAAACAUUAAUUCAGCUCGUCCAUGACUAGAACAUGUUGCUAAUCGUCAUUUAGUUCCAUCUCCUGCUUCAUCGAUGUACUCCUUGAAUGAUGCCUGUUCAUCGUACGAGCAAAGUUGUUUACACCAAGCUCCCCAACACAACAUCAAUACUCAACGAGUGACAACACAUCCAUCCUAUCAAGGCCAAGCCUGUCCACCAUCACCUUUCAAUAUGACAGUAAAGUAAAUGUUUUUGCUCAAUAAUUUCUUCUUUUUUUUUCUAAUUUUUACGAAACUUUUUACAUACUUUGUUAAAAGCGUGGCUCAUCAUUCCCUAUCUAGAGAAUUAUAACAUUUAUUAUAUUUAAUUUAAUAUUUUCAUAUUUAUAAUAAAACCCAAUUUUAUCUUAAGCUACAGUUCUUUAACAGAGCUCAGAUAUUUAAGUUUUGAAGUUUAUUUAUUUGAUCUAAAUAACGUAAAACCUCAAAUUGAAGCCCUGGGCUUCUUUUACUUUAGUGAACUUUUGAUGGGCUUCAUUUUUAAGCUACUUUUGCAAAGUAAAGAUGGGGCUUCUUUUCAAAAUGAAUGCUGUAAAUUUUGGGAAUUACUUCUAUAUGACAAUAAAUAGGGCCACUUUAACAUCAAUCUGUAUCAUGCAGUGUAUUAA